GAUGAACGCUGGCGGCGUGCCUAAUACAUGCAAGUAGAACGCUGAAGGAGGAGCUUGCUCUUCUGGAUGAGUUGCGAACGGGUGAGUAACGCGUAGGUAACCUGCCUGGUAGCGGGGGAUAACUAUUGGAAACGAUAGCUAAUACCGCAUGACAACAGUUAUUGCAUGAUAACUGUUUAAAAGGGGCAACUGCUCCACUACCAGAUGGACCUGCGUUGUAUUAGCUAGUUGGUGAGGUAACGGCUCACCAAGGCGACGAUACAUAGCCGGCCUGAGAGGGUGAUCGGCCACACUGGGACUGAGACACGGCCCCGGCUCCUACGGGAGGCAGCAGUAGGGAAUCAUCGGCAAUGGACGGAAGUCUGACCGAGCAACGCCGCGUGAGUGAAGAAGGUUUUCGGAUCGUAAAGCUCUGUUGUAAGAGAAGAAAGAGUGUGAGAGUGGAAAGUUCACACUGUGACGGUAUCUUACCAGAAAGGGACGGCUAACUACGUG
RNAcentral lists this ribosomal RNA (495 nucleotides) under uncultured bacterium. RNAcentral's name for it is "partial 16S ribosomal RNA". It matches the Rfam family "Bacterial small subunit ribosomal RNA", at positions 28 to 507 of the family's 1533-position model. The record is from RNAcentral.